Molecule: long non-coding RNA, 1862 nt
Filed under: Marmota monax (woodchuck)
Lineage: Eukaryota; Metazoa; Chordata; Mammalia; Rodentia; Sciuridae
Source: RNAcentral
CAGCAUGUUGUCCCAUGUAAUCCUGCAAGAUGUUUAAACUCAAAGAAAUCACUGCACAGGCUACAGGGGUAGUUCAUGGCCAAAUGAGAUUCCCCGGCAGUGCCUGCAGUGGGCACCAUACUGCAUCUUGGGAAAAACAGGGCAUGUGGAGUCUUCCGUGAUCUCCAAGACCCGUUAGGCCUCUUCCACAAAGAAAUUCAAGGGUGCUUUCCUCCCAGCAGCCCCUUUACGGUCUAGAGCUCAAAAUCAAGGUUGGCCUCCAUGUUGAGCUUGGGGGUUUUGAGACUUUUCUCCUUUUCUUUUCUCUUUGAUCGUUUAUUUUAGUUAAUUUCCAAGACACAUUAUCAGGAAUUACUGACCUGCCUUAUCGCUUGCUUACUGCCAUUCAGAUUUUAGAAGUUGACCCGUUGGCUAAGCCCACCCAGAUCAGAGAAACACGAGCAUAGAGCUGCUGUUUUAGGAAAUGAGCUGCUAAACUGGGAUUUGUGGUUACCUUUGCUUACUCCAUUGUAAAUCAAAAUGUCAGUGCAGUUCCAAGUGUCAAAGUGAAGAGAUGACAAAAUGACAUUUUUGAGCAAUAUUCUUCUUUCUCCUGAGACUGGGUAUGGAGUUUCAUUCACUGAUUUUUUUUUUUUCCACGAAAUGAUUGGGAGUAAUGAUUAGUUUCCUGAGAAGAUUUUAAGUUUUCACUAGAGUUUUGUUUUUUUAAUUAACUUAUUCUGUAUUAGAUAUGAUCUAAAAGACUCUCCCAUUUCUGUCUUUAGAAGCAUUGGACUGCUGAUUUUCUUCAGUAACCCUUCUCUGUGAUAAAACUAACACAUACCUUGAUCUGUACAGUGUAAUAGUUAAACCACAGGCUUCACAGUUGAGUUAUCUUGAUAUAAUUCCUGAUUGUGCUAAUUAAUGAUUUUGUGUGUGUGUGUGUGUGUGUGUGUGUGGUUUUAGGGAUUGAACCCAGGGCCUCACACAUUCUGAGCUACAUUCCCAUUCCUAAUUAUUUUAAAAUUAAUCAAAUUACCUAAGUGCUCUGAGCCUCAGUUUUCUCAUUCGUAAAAUGAAGAUAGUAAGAAUAAUAAUAGCAAUAAUUAUAACUAUACACAACUUAAGAGUGUUUUCAUAAUACAUGAGAUAAUGUACAGGUAGUGUCCCGAAUACACAUAGCUAUUGUUGCUAUUUGUAACAUGCACAAGUACAUAUACACACAGACACAUGCACACAUAUAAACACAAGGGAGUAUGUCCCCGAUAGCUGCUUACCAAGACACACUGAGGACGCUCUCCAAGACACACUGAGGACACUGGAAGGCAGAAAAGAGAAAGCCUUCUCCUGUUUCAGUAAUUGAACGUUUAAUGAAGAUCUUCUGUGCAAGAGCGGUGGUCUCAUUAGAUGAAUAGAUCCUAACUUCAGUCCUCAAGGUGUGGGGAUUCCUGCAGAAGAAAAAAAAAUGACAAAACUCUGCAAUAAGAAGCAGAAGGAGGACGGGUGUGGUGGCACAUGCCGUAAUCUCAGCAGCACAGGAGGCUGAGGCAGGAGGAUCACAGGUUCAAAGCCAGCCUCUGCAAAAACGAGGUGCUAAGCAACUCAGUGAGGAUGGAUGGGCAGGGCUCAAAGGACUUCAGGGUCACUGGAACUAUUUCGUUAUGGUGGGCACAUGUGGCGAUGAAUUUGUCUGGACCUGUAGAGUGUGCAACACCAGGAGUGAGCUGUGAUGUGAAUCUACACUCUGGGUGAUGAUGACGUGUCAAUUGGGUUCAUUGAGAGUAACAAGGGUACCACUCUGGGGACAGACACUGAUAAUGAGGGAGGCACACAUCGGUGGGGCAGGGUGGACAUGGAAAAUCUGGACCUUCCACUCAACUUUG